RNAcentral lists this transfer RNA (85 nucleotides) under Hymenobacter sp. RNAcentral describes it as "tRNA-Leu". It matches the Rfam family "tRNA". Rfam says of the family: Transfer RNA (tRNA) molecules are approximately 80 nucleotides in length. Lineage: Bacteria; Pseudomonadati; Bacteroidota; Cytophagia; Cytophagales; Hymenobacteraceae. The record is from RNAcentral.
GCGGGUAUGGCGGAAUUGGUAGACGCGCUGGUUUUAGGUACCAGUGUCGCAAGACGUGGGGGUUCGAGUCCCUCUACCCGUACCA